Molecule: non-coding RNA, 85 nt
Organism: Halobacillus karajensis
Lineage: Bacteria; Bacillati; Bacillota; Bacilli; Caryophanales; Bacillaceae
Source: Rfam
GAAUGCCGUAUGAGGUGAAAGUCUCAUGUACGGUGUGAAGUGGGGGAAAAGGUGGAGAUGAAUUCAAAACCUUACCUAUCACUAU